UAAGGAAUAUUGCUCAAUGGGAGAAAUCCUGAAGCAGCAACGCCGCGUGGAGGAUGAAGGGUCUAUGACUUGUAAACUCCUGUAAAGAAGGAAAAAAUGCCCAUUUGAUGGGAGAUGAUGGUACUUCUGGAGUAAGCCCCGGCUAACUACGUGCCAGCAGCAGCGGUAAUACGUAGGGGGCAAGCGUUGUCUGGAUUUACUGGGUGUAAAGGGUGCUCAGGCGGAUUUGUAAGUCAGAGGUGAAAUCUUACAGCUUAACUGUGAACCUUCCUUGGAUACUGCAAAGCUAGGGUAUGGAAGGGAGUGAUUGAAUAUCUGGUGGAGCAGUGAAAUUCGUAGAUAUCUAAUAGAACACCAAUGGCGAAGGCAAUCACUUGGUCCAUUACUGACACUAAAGCACGAAAGCGUGGG
This 411-nucleotide ribosomal RNA is filed under the name uncultured bacterium. RNAcentral's name for it is "bacterial SSU rRNA". It matches the Rfam family "Bacterial small subunit ribosomal RNA", at positions 355 to 765 of the family's 1533-position model. The record is from RNAcentral.